GCAGGCGGUGGUUUAAGUCUACCUGUGAAAGACCGGGGCUCAACCCUGGGGCUGCUUCCGAAACUGCAGGUCUAGGGACUGGUAGAGGCUGGUAGAAUUCCCGGUGUAGCGGUGGAAUGCGUAGAGAUCGGGAAGAAUACCCGUGGCGAAGGCGGCCAGCUGGGCCAGGUCCGACACUGAGGCGCGAAAGCGUGGGGAGCAAACAGG
Molecule: ribosomal RNA, 207 nt
Filed under: uncultured bacterium
Lineage: Bacteria
Description: partial 16S ribosomal RNA
Rfam family: Bacterial small subunit ribosomal RNA
Source: RNAcentral